Molecule: ribosomal RNA, 253 nt
Filed under: uncultured bacterium
Lineage: Bacteria
Description: partial 16S ribosomal RNA
Rfam family: Bacterial small subunit ribosomal RNA
Source: RNAcentral
UACAGAGGGUGCAAGCGUUGUUCGGAAUUACUGGGCGUAAAGCGCGUGUAGGCGGCGUCGUUAGUCGAAUGUGAAAGCCCUCGGCUCAACCGAGGAAGUGCAUCCGAUACUGCGACGCUUGAGUGUUGGAGGGGGUGGCGGAAUUCCCGGUGUAGAGGUGAAAUUCGUAGAUAUCAGGAGGAACACCGGUGGCGAAGGCGAGUCUCUGGACAUUUCCUGACGCUGAGGCACGAAAGCCAGGGGAGCAAACGGG